Molecule: ribosomal RNA, 460 nt
Filed under: uncultured bacterium
Lineage: Bacteria
Description: partial 16S ribosomal RNA
Rfam family: Bacterial small subunit ribosomal RNA
Source: RNAcentral
CCUACGGGAGGCAGCAGUGAGGAAUAUUGGUCAAUGGACGAGAGUCUGAACCAGCCAAGUAGCGUGAAGGAUGACUGCCCUAUGGGUUGUAAACUUCUUUUAUAUGGGAAUAAAAUGUUCCACGUGUGGGAUUUUGUAUGUACCAUAUGAAUAAGGAUCGGCUAACUCCGUGCCAGCAGCCGCGGUAAUACGGAGGAUCCGAGCGUUAUCCGGAUUUAUUGGGUUUAAAGGGAGCGUAGGUGGAUUGUUAAGUCAGUUGUGAAAGUUUGCGGCUCAACCGUAAAAUUGCAGUUGAAACUGGCAGUCUUGAGUACAGUAGAGGUGGGCGGAAUUCGUGGUGUAGCGGUGAAAUGCUUAGAUAUCAGGAAGAACUCCGAUUGCGAAGGCAGUUCACUGGACUGCAACUGAUACUGAGGCUCGAAAGUGUGGGUAUCAAACAGGAUUAGAUACCCGAGUAGUC